AAAUGGCGUCACGGACAGACUCGCUCCUGAUUGGGGACUUUGACAACGGAGGCGGAGCACAAGGAGCUGCGAAUCCAAACAACUUGUGAGGCUCUGUCUCUACCGCUUCUUGCUUGUGUUUGAUUUCGGUGUUUUAUUUUCUUUUUGUUUUUGUUGUUGUUUUGAGAGUGUGUUCAACGUCGGUCCCUGUAGUCCAUGUUGACCUAGAGAUCGCAGCCUCUGGAACAUUGGGUUAACUAGGGCGCACUCCUAGGCCCAAUUGAGCCUGCAUCACAGUGAAGACAGAAGCGUGUGCCUCCACUGAUCCAGCGAAGCUUCAAGCAGGCAGGAGUGCAUCAGGAUUUGCAUCCUAUGUACUGACAGAGAGCAUUCCUAAACUCUCAUGAAUGCUUCCUGGUGCAUCACUGUUGUAGGGCUGCUGGACAUGGACUGCACCAUUCAAAACCUCUGUGUCCUCAUCUUCGUAGACAAAAGGAGCUCUGUUGAGUGUUGAGACAGAAUAUGAGGUUUGACCAUCGGACAGACUUCUGGAACCUUCCUUCUGCUGAUCACCAACUGGAGGACCCCCUGUGUGCUGUUUGUUGUUUGUUUGUUUGUUUGUUUGUUUGUUUAAAUCCAACCUAUUUUAUUAUUUGGCAACUUCACAUAAUGCACCCUGAAAACACACACUUCCUAGUUCUCCCAGGUCCACCCUCAAACCUUUGUGACCUCCCCACAGAAGAAGAAGGAGAAGGAGCAGGAGGAGAAAGAAGGAGAAAAACCAAGUCUAAUUUAUGUUGUCCAUAUACUCACUGGAGCAUGGUCAGUGCUGACUGUUUUAAAGAGAUAUUAUAUUAGCAUUGGGUUUAUGGCUCAGUAGUAUUGCGACUGCCCAGCAUGUGUGAAGGCCUGGGGUGAAGCCCCAGUAUCUAUGAUAUUGAUCUGGAUAUGAAUAUAGACAUAGGGGUUGGGGAUUUAGCUCAGUGGUAGAGCGCUUGCCUAGGAAGUGCAAGGCCCUGGGUUCGGUCCCCAGCUCCGGAAAAAAAGAAAAAAGAACCAAAAAAAUGAAUAUAGACAUAAAUAUAGGCAUCGUCUGUCCUGUUAAGGUGGGCGUAAUGAUAUUAGCAGACAAGUUUGGCCCACAAGUAACUUAAAUUCUACUGGGAGGCUGAAAAAUAAAAUCUGAAGAAAAAAAUCAUAAAAUCCCAAAUUGGAAUCAAUCAUGAAAGAAUAAAAAGGAUUCCUUGAGAAUUUGUGGCAGUCACUAA
Long non-coding RNA from Rattus norvegicus (Norway rat), 1247 nucleotides. RefSeq lists it as uncharacterized. NCBI's taxonomy places the organism in Eukaryota, Metazoa, Chordata, Mammalia, Rodentia, Muridae. The record is from RefSeq and is a predicted model, not a curated record.